RNAcentral lists this ribosomal RNA (678 nucleotides) under uncultured bacterium. RNAcentral describes it as "bacterial SSU rRNA". It matches the Rfam family "Bacterial small subunit ribosomal RNA", at positions 1 to 673 of the family's 1533-position model. The record is from RNAcentral.
CCCUUAGAGUUUGAUCAUGGCUCAGGACGAACGCUGGCGGCGGGCUUAACACAUGCAAGUCGAAGGAGAAGGUAGAAGCUUGCUUUUACUGGAGACUGGCGGACGGGUGAGUAACGCGUAGAUAACCUGCCUAUAGCUGGGGGAUAACACUGCGAAAGUGGUGCUAAUACCGCAUAAUGCAGCGGGGCCGCAUGGCCAUAGUUGUUAAAGGUUUCGACCGGCUAUAGAUGGGUCUGCGUGCUAUUAGUUAGUUGGUAGGGUAACGGCCUACCAAGGCGAUGAUAGCUAGGGGGUCUGAGAGGAUGAUCCCCCACACUGGGACUGAGACACGGCCCAGACUCCUACGGGAGGCAGCAGUGAGGAAUCUUGCGCAAUGGGCGAAAGCCUGACGCAGCCACGCCGCGUGCCGGAUGAAGGCCCUAUGGGUUGUAAACGGCUUUUACUAGGGAAGAACGAGAGGGUUUCGAUCUUCUGUGACGGUACCUAGUGAAUAAGCACCGGCUAACUCCGUGCCAGCAGCCGCGGUAAUACGGAGGGUGCAAGCGUUGUCCGGAAUCAUUGGGUGUAAAGGGUACGUAGGCGGGAGCCUAAGUCUGGGGUGAAAUCUUGCCGCUUAACGGUAAAAUGGCCCUGGAUACUGGGUUUCUUGAGUGCAGAAGAGGCAGGUGGAAUUCGUGG